RNAcentral lists this ribosomal RNA (244 nucleotides) under uncultured bacterium. RNAcentral's name for it is "partial small subunit ribosomal RNA". It matches the Rfam family "Bacterial small subunit ribosomal RNA", at positions 26 to 285 of the family's 1533-position model. The record is from RNAcentral.
AGAAUCAACGCUGGCGGCGUGCCUAACACAUGCAAGUCGCACGAGAAAGGGUAGCAAUACCUGAGUAAAGUGGCGCACGGGUGAGUAACACGUGAAUGAUCUACCUCCGAGUGGGGAAUAACUGAGAGAAAUCUUAGCUAAUACCGCAUAACACUUACGAGUCAAAGCAGCAAUGCGCUUGGAGAGGAGUUCGCGGCCGAUUAGUUAGUUGGCGGGGUAAUGGCCCACCAAGCGAUGAUCGGUA